RNAcentral lists this ribosomal RNA (253 nucleotides) under uncultured bacterium. RNAcentral's name for it is "partial 16S ribosomal RNA". It matches the Rfam family "Bacterial small subunit ribosomal RNA", at positions 524 to 776 of the family's 1533-position model. The record is from RNAcentral.
UACGUAGGUGGCAAGCGUUAUCCGGAAUUAUUGGGCGUAAAGAGCGCGCAGGUGGUUAAUUAAGUCUGAUGUGAAAGCCCACGGCUUAACCGUGGAGGGUCAUUGGAAACUGGUUGACUUGAGUGUAGAAGAGGGAAGUGGAAUUCCAUGUGUAGCGGUGAAAUGCGUAGAGAUAUGGAGGAACACCAGUGGCGAAGGCGGCUUCCUGGUCUGCAACUGACACUGAGGCGCGAAAGCGUGGGGAGCAAACAGG